This is a long non-coding RNA of Gadus morhua (Atlantic cod), 1241 nucleotides long. RefSeq lists it as uncharacterized. The record is from RefSeq and is a predicted model, not a curated record. Lineage: Eukaryota; Metazoa; Chordata; Actinopteri; Gadiformes; Gadidae. The transcript is spliced from 2 exons.
GAUUGGUGCAGAUCUCCAGCGACAGGACACCAAUUACAGACUGGCAGCUGAACCCAAGCAAAGACUUGUGGUUACACUGAGAUUCCUUGCCACCGGAGAGUCUUUCAGGAGUCUGGCUCUUGCCUACAGGCUGGGCAGAAAAACAGUGGCAGACUCCGUUCACAUGACCUGUAGGGCAGUUGUCGAUCACAUGAUGGAGACCCAAAUGCCGAAACCAACGGAGGAAUCAUGGACAGCUAUCGCAGAGCGCUUUUGGAGAAGAUGGCAGUUUCCAAAUUGCAUUGGGGCCAUCGACGGGAAGCACAUUCAAAUUCAAGCACCCAAAAAAUCAUGCAGCCAGUUUUUUAAUUAUAAAAAAACAUUUUCAAUAAUCUUGUUGGCCCUGGUGGAUGCGGACUCAAAAUUUAUAAUCAUACAAGUUGGCGAUUUUGGCCGUGCAAGUGAUGGUGGGGUGUUCGCUCAUUCAGCACUGGGGAGGGGAAUGAGUGAAAAGACUUUGAAUGUGCCAGAAGACACCCCCCUGCCUGGUUAUGGUCAGCAAGGUGACGUGCCAUACAUGAUGGUAGGUGAUGCUGCGUUUCCCUUGAAGCGGUACCUGAUGCGACCCUACCCUGGCAGCAACCUGUCAAGGCAUAAUAGUCACUUUAACUACAGGCUGUCAAGAGCUCGCAUGACAGUGGAGUGUGCCUUUGGCAUUCUUGCGGCCAGAUGGAGGGUUUUUUUGUCAAGAAUAUCCAUGCUUCCGUGUCAUAUAGACAUGGUAGUCAUGGCAGCAUGUGUGCUACAUAAUUAUCUGAUCAAGCCUAAGAACAGAGAUAUGGUAGAGGGUCAAAGGGAUGGAGAACAUGGUCUGCAAAGUGUCAGACACAUGGGGGGUAACAGAGGACCCAGGGAAGCCCUUCAGACUCGGGAGUUCCUCUGUAAUUUCUUUGACUCCCCAGAAGGAGCUUUAAAUAGUGCACAUAAUGUGUAAAUAAUUUUGUAAAUAAUGUAGUUUAAUAGGUUUGGAUAACAUGAUGAUCAUUGUAUAUAUAUAUCUUUUUGUAAAUAGAUAUUGAUAUUUUGUAAAUAGAUAUUGAUUAUCAAUCUCUCUCUCUCUCGCUCUGUCUGUCUCUCCCCCCCCCCCCCCGCUCUCUUUCUCUGUCUGUUUCCCUGUCUCUCUCUCGCUCUGUCUGUUUCCCUGUCUCUCAUUAGACAUUCUUGGUUCCAAAUGUAUGUUGAUUAAAACGUUCUUGUUGACA